UGAAAAUUGAAUAUUUCGAGC
RNAcentral lists this non-coding RNA (21 nucleotides) under Caenorhabditis elegans. The record is from RNAcentral. Lineage: Eukaryota; Metazoa; Nematoda; Chromadorea; Rhabditida; Rhabditidae.